This 1219-nucleotide long non-coding RNA is filed under the name Ailuropoda melanoleuca (giant panda). RNAcentral's name for it is "lncRNA (ENSAMEG00000025459.1)". The record is from RNAcentral. Lineage: Eukaryota; Metazoa; Chordata; Mammalia; Carnivora; Ursidae.
CAAACCUGAACUCCAGGCGGGGGGGAGAUUCUAGAGCCAAAAUUCUGUCCUUCUGACCUCUGGCUCCAGUCAGAAGCGCAGAGGAGCGCACAGGCUACCAGGCGCCAAACCAAGACACGUGGACAGGAGGGAGAAAGUGAGCAGAUCCUUGUGGAAGGGGUAUAAUGUCUAGGGGUAAGGAUGACUGAUCCCUGUGGGAAAGUGGCUCUGAUCCCAUGGACAGAGAGGCCUAUUUCCCAUGAAGAGGGAGAAGCAGGUAGGGGUGGGGGUAGGGUGAACUGAUUAGCCUAAGCCCUGGAAGGGGGUCUCCUGAGAGUCAGGGCGUAGCCCUUGGAGGAGAAGGGGUCCUGCAGGGAGCUUUGAACCCAGUCCUGGUCUUUUCAGGAAGCCGCCUUGGUCCUCCAGAGAGAGGUGGAGCUAGAUAGCAAUAUGGAGGUUAGGCUGGGUGACCUAGGUUAGUUUAGCGCCUGUACCUUGCCAGCUGGACCCAACUUCCGAAGGCCAGAGUUGUGGCCCUCUUGCCCCUCCUUCACCACUGUCGGCCUAUUCAGGAUGAAAGAGGCCAGGGGUGCGUCGGGGUGGUCCUGCAGAAGGGAAGGGAGGCCCCCUCCACAGGCUACAUGGUACCUUCUCAGAUCUAGAGAUGAGCUUCACUAGCCUUUCCUCCCCGAACCUCAGUUUAAAGGUCAGGGGUGAGGAGGCCUAAGGGUCGGUGAACAGGUGCAGGCAAACAUGGGAAGAACUGAGUGGAGGGGACCGUCUUUUGAAAGCAGUGUCAGGGCUGUUGCCAGAGAGUUGGCCUCCCGCUGAGCCCUGAUAACCUUCCACACUGUGCCACGACCACAGAUUAGCAUGAUGGCUCCUCCGCGGGCCUUGGCUCUUGGGCAGGAACAGCCUCCUGCAUCCAUUAGACACGGGGGCAGCACACCUGAGAGCAAGACACGAGCCACCGAUGAACAGGAAACCUCCCCAACACAUUGGCCCAGGCCACAACCACAAACCCACGGCCUCACACCCUGCAGACGCAGACGAGACCACCCACGCCCGACACUGGCGCCCACCACCCACCGCCGCUGUGAAAACACUCCUACCCAGAACCGCCAGGCAAACGGGCCGCUCCUAAUCACACAUCCCUCCUCGGUAAGGAGCCCACUCCGGGUCCUGGGCCCGCCCCCUCCCCACGUGUAGUCCGGGACUCCAGCUGCGCCCAGUGACUCCC